GAGUAUCCGUUGAUCAAUUAGAUAGUAAAGGCUGGGAGGUAAUACUAGUUAAUUAAUAGCUAAUUCAUAUUAAAACUCGAAUUAUGAAAUUAGUUAAUCUUCUAUUCAUUAAUUAGGGAUUUAAUCGAUCAUAGGCUAGAGGCUUACAUUAUUGACACUAGGAUAGGAAAUUUCAUUAGGUUAAUUGUAACGCUCGGGUUUG
This 202-nucleotide long non-coding RNA is filed under the name Gossypium barbadense (sea-island cotton). RNAcentral's name for it is "long non-coding RNA (GBAR_LNC017925)". Lineage: Eukaryota; Viridiplantae; Streptophyta; Magnoliopsida; Malvales; Malvaceae. The record is from RNAcentral.